RNAcentral lists this long non-coding RNA (1155 nucleotides) under Gossypium barbadense (sea-island cotton). RNAcentral's name for it is "long non-coding RNA (GBAR_LNC018803)". Lineage: Eukaryota; Viridiplantae; Streptophyta; Magnoliopsida; Malvales; Malvaceae. The record is from RNAcentral.
UUGAUUUUGAAAAAUAAAAUAUUGCAGUGGGCCAUUGCCACCUGGUAUACAGGGAGGCGGGAGGGAAAAUUUUUUUGACACGCUAGCUGCUGUAGUCGACUUGUUACCCCGUCGCCCGUCGAUCGUUCCCUCCACUCACUCCGUUGGCCUCUCCACUCCGCGUCAUCACUUUAGGUCGACGGUCUACCUCUCUCAGUUAAUGGUCGUCGGUUGUCGACUGCUGACCAAUUAACUAUCCCCUCUCUCCGUCUUUCAAAUCUUUGUUCUAAGGUAAUUUAUUUCUAGAGUUCCGAAUCUAGAAAUCUUUGCACAUCAUACUUUGUCAGUAUCUUCAUUGUUUUCUAAAAGGGAAUAGUACUGGAAGGAUUUUUUUUUCCCUUGGAAAGUAUUAGUUGUUUUCUAUGAGGAUUGCUUUUGUAACUAUAAAUUUGGACUCAUGGGUAAUAGUUUUGCUGAAAGCAUACUGUUGAUUUUAGCAUAUAUUGUUGAAUGGUUAUUAUUUGGAGCCUUCCCUUUGUGCUUAUAAUGGUGGGAUGAUUACAAUAAAUUAAUUUCGAUUUUUUCAGUCAGUCGGUCGAACCGACUGUCAUUAACUCAAUUUUGGCCUAAGGUCGGUUCAAUUUUGGUUUCAUAAAAGGGAAAAUCGGUUUAGUCGACGAUCGAUUGCUCACCCUUACACUAAAGCUCAAGACUUCACCCUAGUGUUAGGGCUAAAAUAAACUGCAGAUUUAACCAUGUUAAUCUUUUGUCUAAAGCUCUUUUCAAAUGUCUCCAAAAUGCACUUAACGGUUUUGGCCUCCCAUUUUUAUUGUGGAUAAAUAGCAAGCUAUCGUCCGCAAAGAAGAGAUGCAUGGUUCACCUUCCAACCGUUUUGGCUCACUCUAACCUUUGAUCUCUCCCUCCACUUGUGCCCUAGCAAGCAAAGCUGAGAGACCCUGCAUGAGAAAAGAAACAAAAAAAGGUGACAGAGGUCACACUACCUCAAACCCUUCGCAUGUCAUAGAAAAUUCCACUUGAAUUUGUAUAGUUACAUAGUUAUUUUUGAUAAUUUAUGGGAUAAAUUUUAAAAUUAUAUAUGAAUUUUAGUUUAAUAUGUAAUUUUAUACAUAAAAUUUUGAUUUGAUCUAAUUCUCACAAAUUAUUAAUACAGUUAUU